UUUUCUAAAUAAAGGUUACAGAUCUGUAAGCCAUGCAUCAUUUUGCCAAGCAUGUUGGCCUGGAAAUAUCUUCAAAAGUCAAGAUCAUGAACACGGAACACCACACAUCGUUGUCAUAUUCUCAUUAUAAAAACAUGCCAUUUUUUGAAUAAAAAAAAUGAUGAAAGUGAAAAGUAUUAGUGCUUUCUGCACAAGCCUGUAAUGCACAUAUGGAUAAGGUCUACACCUUUUGUUUGACAAAAGUCAAAGAAACCUUUUGUGUCAUAGCCAUGUUACCUUUUUCUUGGAAAGGUGUUUGCUUUUGCAAAGCUGUACAAUACUGAC
RNAcentral lists this long non-coding RNA (324 nucleotides) under Helianthus annuus (common sunflower). Its description in RNAcentral is "sRNA HanXRQr2_Chr06g0269761". The record is from RNAcentral. Lineage: Eukaryota; Viridiplantae; Streptophyta; Magnoliopsida; Asterales; Asteraceae.